CAGCAGCCGCGGUAAUACGUAGGUGGCAAGCGUUGUCCGGAAUUAUUGGGCGUAAAGGGCUCGCAGGCGGUUUCUUAAGUCUGAUGUGAAAGCCCCCGGCUCAACCGGGGAGGGUCAUUGGAAACUGGGAAACUUGAGUGCAGAAGAGGAUAGUGGAAUUCCACGUGUAGCGGUGAAAUGCGUAGAGAUGUGGAGGAACACCAGUGGCGAAGGCGACUCUCUGGUCUGUAACUGACGCUGAGGAGCGAAAGCGUGGGGAGCGAACAGGAUUAGAUACCCCCGUAGUCCCUGUCUCUUAUAC
Molecule: ribosomal RNA, 301 nt
Filed under: uncultured bacterium
Lineage: Bacteria
Description: partial 16S ribosomal RNA
Rfam family: Bacterial small subunit ribosomal RNA
Source: RNAcentral